Spinacia oleracea (spinach) is the source of this 907-nucleotide long non-coding RNA. RefSeq lists it as uncharacterized. The record is from RefSeq and is a predicted model, not a curated record. The transcript is spliced from 3 exons. NCBI's taxonomy places the organism in Eukaryota, Viridiplantae, Streptophyta, Magnoliopsida, Caryophyllales, Amaranthaceae.
UUUUUUUUCACUUCUCUCUCCUAAACAACAAACCAAGGUGUUUGAUAACUAUGGUCUAACUCUUUUGUCACUUUCUCAUUGCUUCACCCUUUCUCACUUUCUUCACCUUCUUCCUUUCGUUCUUUUUCUUACACUUGAUGUUGCCACAGGCCCACAGUGCCACACCUUCUUUCUCUUAGAUUUUCCAUCUUCUCUUCUUUCUUUGCUUACUUUUGCCGAUAAAAAGUUCCUCUCUUAAUUUUCUAUCUGCGAUCUGCCUCUUCUCUUAACCGACCUCCAUUUUUAUCUCCCUUCCCUUCAGCUCAUAACAAUGGCGUUCCUUUUCGUUUGGCUUGCUCUUGCAAUGAAGACGAGUGGAUAAAUAAUAUUACCGUGGAGCUAAAAUCAUUCUGCUCAGGUUUGUUGCAUUCAAUUUCUCUCUUCAUUUAGUAUUCCAACUUCUCUGAUUUAUUUGAUUGAAUGAUACUCUUUUAAUUAGUGUUCUAACUUCUUUGAUUUACUUGAUUUCAUGAUACUCUCUUAUAAGUGUUUCAGCUUCGCUGAUUUCUUUGAUUUCAUUAUACUGUUUAAUUUGUGGACCAGAGAUUGGUUAUACAUCCGCCCUAAAAGAAGUUUCAGAAAAUUCACAAACAUUUUCAUUUCUUGGUGAUUGACAUGUAUUUUCGGUGCAUGAACAUAUCUUAUAACAUUAAAGUUACUAUUACCAACUUUUUAGGAAAACUACAGUUACAAACUUACAAUCACUAACAGACUAAGAGAGUUACACCACUGAUGCCGAUAAUAGCUGGUAAACAAUAUGUAGUCUAUAACAAGAAUUCUGGCACUCAUUUACGUAAUCGUAAUACUCAUGGAUGUAUGUAAUAAUUAGGCAUAUCAAGCUUCAAAAUCUCCAAAUAUGCAGAUCUAA